RNAcentral lists this small RNA (132 nucleotides) under Salmonella enterica subsp. enterica serovar Frintrop. Its description in RNAcentral is "RtT sRNA". It matches the Rfam family "RtT RNA". Rfam says of the family: This family represents a bacterial cis-regulatory element known as RtT RNA. The exact function of RtT is unknown although it is thought that it may be involved in changing the cellular response in relation to amino acid starvation. The record is from RNAcentral. Lineage: Bacteria; Pseudomonadati; Pseudomonadota; Gammaproteobacteria; Enterobacterales; Enterobacteriaceae.
GUUUGCACUUGUUGGGGAAGGGUGAGAACCUUCGAUUAAGGUUCGACUCGAGCGAAAGCGAGAGAACGUUGCCAACGGCAACGGCCCGUAGGUUGAGGAGCGAAGCGACGAAUAAUCCUUCCCCCACCACCA